RNAcentral lists this long non-coding RNA (1134 nucleotides) under Actinidia chinensis (golden kiwifruit). Its description in RNAcentral is "long non-coding RNA (ACHI_LNC004781)". Lineage: Eukaryota; Viridiplantae; Streptophyta; Magnoliopsida; Ericales; Actinidiaceae. The record is from RNAcentral.
AGAUGAAGUUUUUAUAGGCGUUUGCCCCUUGAAAGAUCUAAAAUAAGCGAUUAUCCUCUUAAAAUAUCAAUUGGAGCACUUUGCCCAUGGAAUUAAACCAAAUUGUAGUAAAAUAACCCUUUGAUAAUGUGGUAUCAUAAUUGAGUGGCACGCUGUGGCUCCGGUAACCACCUUAUCAAUCUAAUAGGAGCACAUUGCAACAACUGAAUUCAUUUAUGGGGAGUUUACUCCUAUUGAUAUUUAAGCUACAAAUUACUCCUUUCAUAAUCUUUCAAGGAGCUAAAUGCCAAAAGGCAAAAACUACCCUUUUUUUUCCUACAAAAGUCCAAACCCUAUCAACCUAAAAAGAAAAAAGGAGAACUAGGGUUACCAAUUACCGCAUUCCAAGGCGAAGUAGGUGGGAAUGAUUGAGAGUGAAAGAGGAAAGAGGUUGUUGAGCGAUGAAGUAUGGCCAAGAGUGAGAUGGCAGAAGAUCAUCAGAUUUUGGCAAGGUGAGAGCACUAAUGGCCUUUGUAGGACAGAGCAAUAGAAGUAAUGAAGGUCUAAAAAAGUACGUACAGAACCUCUAGCAGGGGAUGCCUUUCAUAAAUAAGUCCAAGAGAUGAAGGUAGAGAUCUCCUAUACAUAGGGGUGAGACCACGGAGGUUAGCACGCCAGGUCAUGCAUCUGGAUGAAGAAAGAGAGACACUUUUGCAUCUAGAUGAAGAAAGAGAGACACUUUCCUUGGCAAAAUAACUUGUAGGAAAAACAUACUAUUGAAUGUAGCACCAAUAUCCUCACAGGGCAACAGCACAACAGCCACAACGGACAACCAUGAUCAAGUGUUCUCCUCAAGUCAUCCUAAGGUAUAGGGAGGUAAAGAGCACACCACAAGUCUUUGUCAUAGUUUAGAACUAUCUACUUCGGAAAUACAAUCUAGAACCAAACAAGGUAUAAGUAUCUUGAGGGAGAAUGCAAGAUCCACCUUGACGAACUUACAACUCUACUUGCCAAGCCACAACAAUCAUUGUGCUUGAAAAAUCAUUGGUAUGCUCGAGCGACACUCUAGGGAUUAAUGCUAGAAGUCAUGUGGUACACAAGUGAUCAAUCCAAGAGUGGCCAAGUGCAGACAUCACUAUUAGAGAUGGGCACACU